GCGAUGCGCUUAGGGGUAACACCCGUUCCCAUCCCGAACACGAUGGUUAAGACCUAAGCGGCCGAUGGUACUUUACUGGAGACGGUACGGGAGAGUAGGUGGCUGCCGGAU
Molecule: ribosomal RNA, 111 nt
Filed under: Dorea formicigenerans
Lineage: Bacteria; Bacillati; Bacillota; Clostridia; Lachnospirales; Lachnospiraceae
Source: RNAcentral